UACGGAGGGGGCGAGCGUUGUUCGGAAUCAUUGGGCGUAAAGGGCGCGUAGGCGGCCUUGCAAGUCGGGUGUGGAAUCCCUCGGCUCAACCGAGGAACCGCACUCGAUACUGCCGGGCUAGAGUCCGGGAGGGGAUGGUGGAAUUCCCAGUGUAGCGGUGAAAUGCGUAGAUAUUGGGAAGAACACCGGUGGCGAAGGCGGCCAUCUGGACCGGUACUGACGCUGAGGCGCGAAAGCUAGGGGAGCGAAUGGG
Molecule: ribosomal RNA, 253 nt
Filed under: uncultured bacterium
Lineage: Bacteria
Description: partial 16S ribosomal RNA
Rfam family: Bacterial small subunit ribosomal RNA
Source: RNAcentral